RNAcentral lists this ribosomal RNA (1189 nucleotides) under metagenome. RNAcentral's name for it is "bacterial SSU rRNA". It matches the Rfam family "Bacterial small subunit ribosomal RNA", at positions 314 to 1520 of the family's 1533-position model. The record is from RNAcentral.
UGGCACUGAAACACGGGCCAGACUCCUACGGGAGGCAGCAGUGGGGAAUCUUGCACAAUGGGGGAAACCCUGAUGCAGCGACGCCGCGUGAGCGAUGAAGCCCUUCGGGGUGUAAAGCUCUUUCGGCAGGGAAGAUUAUGACGGUACCUGCAGAAGCAGCUGCGGCUAACUACGUGCCAGCAGCCGCGGUAAUACGUAGGCAGCAAGCGUUGUUCGGAGUUACUGGGCGUAAAGGGUGUGUAGGCGGUGAUUUAAGUUUGGUGUGAAAUCUCCCGGCUUAACCGGGAGGGUGCGCCGAAUACUGAAUGACUUGGAGUGCGGGAGAGGAAAGUGGAAUUCCUGGUGUAGCGGUGAAAUGCGUAGAUAUCAGGAGGAACACCGGUGGUGUAGACGGCUUUCUGGACCGUAACUGACGCUGAGACACGAAAGCGUGGGUAGCAAACAGGAUUAGAUACCCUGGUAGUCCACGCCCUAAACGAUGCAUAUUUGGUGUGGGCAGUUCAUUCUGUCCGUGCCGGAGCUAACGCGUUAAAUAUGCCGCCUGGGGAGUACAGUCGCAAGGCUGAAACUCAAAGGAAUUGACGGGGGCCCGCACAAGCGGUGGAGCAUGUGGUUCAAUUCGACCACGCGAAGAACCUUACCUGGGCUCGAACGGCUGGUCAACGGAGGUGGAAACAUCUUUACCCCGCAAGGGGGUCCAGUCGAGGUGCUGCAUGGCUGUCGUCAGCUCGUGUCGUGAGAUGUUGGGUUAAGUCCCGCAACGAGCGCAACCCCUGUCCUGUGUUGCCAUCAUUCAGUUGGGAACUCGCAGGAGACCGCCAGCGAUAAGUUGGAGGAAGGUGGGGAUGACGUCAAGUCCUCAUGGCCUUUAUGUCCAGGGCUACACACGUGCUACAAUGGACGGUACAAUACGUCCCGAACCCGCGAGGGGGAGGCAAUCGGAAAAAACCGUUCUCAGUUCGGAUUGCAGGCUGCAACUCGCCUGCAUGAAGCUGGAAUCGCUAGUAAUGGCAGAUCAGCACGCUGCCGUGAAUACGUUCCCGGGCCUUGUACACACCGCCCGUCACAUCACGAAAGUGGAUUGUACUAGAAGUCUGCAGGCUGACCCGCAAGGGGGGCAGCGGCCCAAGGUAUGAUCCAUGAUUGGGGUGAAGUCGUAACAAGGUAGCCGUAGGAGAACCUGCGGCUG